GUUGUAUGGUUAAGUGACUAAGCGUACACGGUGGAUGCCUUGGCAGUCAGAGGCGAUGAAAGACGUAGUAACUUGCGAUAAGCCCAGAUUAGGUAGUAACAACCAUUUGAGU
This 112-nucleotide ribosomal RNA is filed under the name Vibrio parahaemolyticus. Its description in RNAcentral is "partial 23S ribosomal RNA". It matches the Rfam family "Bacterial large subunit ribosomal RNA", at positions 1 to 104 of the family's 2925-position model. Lineage: Bacteria; Pseudomonadati; Pseudomonadota; Gammaproteobacteria; Vibrionales; Vibrionaceae. RNAcentral also lists the same sequence under 1 other name. The record is from RNAcentral.